RNAcentral lists this ribosomal RNA (222 nucleotides) under uncultured bacterium. RNAcentral describes it as "partial 16S ribosomal RNA". It matches the Rfam family "Bacterial small subunit ribosomal RNA", at positions 27 to 238 of the family's 1533-position model. The record is from RNAcentral.
GAUGGAACGCUGGCGGCGUGCCUAAUACAUGCAAGUCGAACGCACAGCGAAAGGUGCUUGCACCUUUCAAGUGAGUGGCGAACGGGUGAGUAACACGUGGACAACCUGCCUCAAGGCUGGGGAUAACAUUUGGAAACAGAUGCUAAUACCGAAUAAAACUCAGUGUCGCAUGACACAAAGUUAAAAGGCGCUUUGGCGUCACCUAGAGAUGGAUCCGCGGUG